UACGUAGGGUGCAAGCGUUGUCCGGAAUUAUUGGGCGUAAAGAGCUCGUAGGCGGUUUGUCGCGUCGAAUGUGAAAACCCGGGGCUCAACCCCGGGCCUGCAUUCGAUACGGGCAGACUAGAGUUCGGUAGGGGAGUCUGGAAUUCCUGGUGUAGCGGUGAAAUGCGCAGAUAUCAGGAGGAACACCGGUGGCGAAGGCGGGACUCUGGGCCGGAACUGACGCUGAGGAGCGAAAGCGUGGGUAGCAAACAGG
Molecule: ribosomal RNA, 253 nt
Filed under: uncultured bacterium
Lineage: Bacteria
Description: partial 16S ribosomal RNA
Rfam family: Bacterial small subunit ribosomal RNA
Source: RNAcentral